AGCGGAUAUAACUCUCAUGCUGGAGUGCCGAGAGUUAGAAACGUUCCGGCGCUGUAGGAUGUGGCUGCGGCCGAUUAGGUAGAUGGUGGGGUAACGGCCCACCAUGCCGAUAAUCGGUACAGGUUUGUGAGAGCAAGAGCCUGGAGACGGUAUCUGAGACAAGAUACCGGGCCCUACGGGGCGCAGCAGGCGCGAAACCUUUACACUGCACGACAGUGCGAUAGGGGGACUCCGAGUGUGAGGGCAUAUAG
This 251-nucleotide ribosomal RNA is filed under the name halophilic archaeon. RNAcentral describes it as "partial 16S ribosomal RNA". It matches the Rfam family "Archaeal small subunit ribosomal RNA", at positions 151 to 400 of the family's 1478-position model. Lineage: Archaea; Methanobacteriati; Methanobacteriota; Halobacteria; Halobacteriales. The record is from RNAcentral.